UUUCCUACGGGCGGCUGCAGUGGGGAAUUUUGGACAAUGGGCGAAAGCCUGAUCCAGCAAUGCCGCGUGUGUGAAGAAGGCCUUCGGGUUGUAAAGCACUUUUGUCCGGAAAGAAAUGGCUCUGGUUAAUACCUGGGGUCGAUGACGGUACCGGAAGAAUAAGGACCGGCUAACUACGUGCCAGCAGCCGCGGUAAUACGUAGGGUCCAAGCGUUAAUCGGAAUUACUGGGCGUAAAGCGUGCGCAGGCGGUUGUGCAAGACCGAUGUGAAAUCCCCGGGCUUAACUUGGGAAUUGCAUUGGUGACUGCACGGCUAGAGUGUGUCAGAGGGGGGUAGAAUUCCACGUGUAGCAGUGAAAUGCGUAGAGAUGUGGAGGAAUACCGAUGGCGAAGGCAGCCCCCUGGGAUAACACUGACGCUCAUGCACGAAAGCGUGGGGAGCAAACAGGAUUAGAUACCCGUGUAGUCC
This 469-nucleotide ribosomal RNA is filed under the name uncultured Ralstonia sp. Its description in RNAcentral is "bacterial SSU rRNA". It matches the Rfam family "Bacterial small subunit ribosomal RNA", at positions 335 to 796 of the family's 1533-position model. The record is from RNAcentral. Lineage: Bacteria; Pseudomonadati; Pseudomonadota; Betaproteobacteria; Burkholderiales; Burkholderiaceae.